GCCCGGUUAGCUCAAUCGGUAGAGCGUGAGACUCUUAUGAUUCUCGUGAAAACAAGAUGAAAAGAAAUCUCAAGGUUGCGGGUAAGUCCUCUAGAUAUAAAAAAUUCUUGGGAGGGUCAAACUUGUGCUAACCCUCUUCCAUAGGUUCGACCCCCGCAUCGGGCU
Molecule: non-coding RNA, 165 nt
Organism: Daldinia sp. EC12
Lineage: Eukaryota; Fungi; Ascomycota; Sordariomycetes; Xylariales; Hypoxylaceae
Source: the annotation of a GenBank genome assembly